Heterocephalus glaber (naked mole-rat) is the source of this 4602-nucleotide non-coding RNA. NCBI's taxonomy places the organism in Eukaryota, Metazoa, Chordata, Mammalia, Rodentia, Bathyergidae. The record is from RefSeq and is a predicted model, not a curated record.
AAAAAAAAGCAAAAGAUGUGAUAGGCUGAAAAUGGCCCCACAAAAUGUUUGUCUCUCUAGAACCUGUGAAAUUUUCAUCAAGGAAUUUUGCAAAUGUUAAGGAACUUGAGUUGGAAGAUUAUCUUGGAUUGUCCACCUGGAGCUACUGUACCACAAGGAUUCCUAUACAAGGGAGGUAGGAUGGGUUAGGGUUAGAUCCAUGAAAUCUGAUGAUGCUAUGCUACUGGCUUUAAAUAUGGAGAAAGGGGACCGUAAGUCAAAGGAUUCAUGUGGUGUGAUCCAAAAUAAGAUAAAUGUUUAAAAUUUUAAAAUUCAUUACAGUAGAUAUUGCCAUUAAUCUCCCUCAAAAUAUCCCCCCUCACUUUAAACACUUAUCCCAUCAUUCUUGCCACUUUCUGAAGCAGUUCUGGAAGUCAUCUUUCACAAGCAUCCUUUUGUGGCUACCUUGAUGUUCUGAAUUGAUUCAAAACAUUUAUAGCAAUAUCUGUCAAUAAAAACAUUAUGCUGUGUCCUCAUCUACCUUGCUCACUGGAUCUGGCAUCAUGCAAAUUCUGGCUUUUCUCCGAAAUCAAAAUGAACAUGAAAGGUAAAUGUUUUGAAUCAAUUCAAGACAUUGAGCCAGCCCCUGGAGACUGGAAAAGGCAAUGAAACAUUCUCCCCAACAACUUCUGGAAGAACCACCUCUGUCCACAUCCUGACCUCAUCCUGGUAAGAGUGAUUUUGAAUGUUCAGGACUGUAAAAGACCAUUUUUUGUUUGUUUGUUUGUUUGUUUUAAGUCAUGAAGUUUGUGGUGAUUUGUGACUCCACCAAUAGAAAAAUCAAUAAAAUUUGCUAAAGUUCCAUUUAGGAUUUUUAUAUCAUGUUCAUGAGGGACGUUGAUGAGAAAACACAGAAAACUGAUUCAUUUAAAAAUUCAUCAGUGUAAGAUGCCAUAUGAAUGGGCUGAAGAAUAAACAUGACAUAAACAUAUAACUUGAUAUAUGAAAACCGUUUCACAAAAUUCACCCAUGCAUUAAAAGAAAUAAACCCCUCAAAAUUAGGAAUAAAAAGGAAGUUCCUUAAUUUGAUAACAUCUUCAAAAAGCCUACAACUAACACUACUUAAUGAUGAUGACAAUUGGGAGGCUGAUGCUGGAGGAUCACCAGGAGUUCAAGGCCAGCCUGAGCUACAUAGCAAGAUCCUGUCUCAAAAAGGAUGCCAGCAUUCCUAAUAGGGAAACCUAGCCAGCAGAGUAAGGCAACAGAAAUAAAAAGCAUACAGAAGAUUGGAAAAGAAGAAGUAAAGUUAUCUCUAAAGCAAAGAAGCAAACCUAAAGUUCAGCAAUAUCUCAAAGCAUAUGAUCAACAUAAAAAAAUCAAUUGGAUGCCUAUAUACUAGCUAACUAGUAAUCUAUAGAAACCAAGAUUUAAAAUACAUAUUUUAAAUAUGUAUUUAUAUUUCAUAUGUAUUCUCCCAAAAGAAAUACAUAGGUGUAAACUAACAAACUUGUACAGUAUUUAUAUACCAAAUCUACAAAACACUGAUGAAAGAAAUCAAAGACCUAAACAAGACAGUGUGACUGCCAAACACUCAAGACAAUAACAAUAUCAAUUGUUUUCAAUUUGACAUACAGAUUGAACAAAAGUCCUAACACCACAGCAAGAUGUUUUGAAGGUAAAGACAAGAUUCUAAAAUUUAUAUGGAAAGGCCAAGAAACUAGAAUUGUUUUCAAAAAUUUUAAGGAAGAAUAAAAUGGGAGAAAUCACUACCUGAUUUCAAGAUAAGUAGCUGCAAUAAUCAGGAGUGCAUGGUAUUAGCAGAAGAAUGGAUACAAUGGAAUAGAAUAGAGAACCAAAUACAUACCCAUGUGAUUAUGCUCAAGUGAUUUUAGACAAGGGUUCAAAAGUAAUCUAGUAGAGGACAAUAGCCUUUUCAACAAAUGAUGCUGAAGAACUUGGACAAUCCUGGCUUAAAUAUCUUGACCUUAACUUCACAGCAGGACAGAUUAUUUAAUGUAGGAGAAGAAAUCCUGGUGUGCUAUUGUACAGUAGAUGGUGGUUAAUUGGUCAACCUGAGUAAGGAACGCCCCUCUGAGUUAAGUCCAUAAGAUUCUGGAUGCCUAAGACCCACUUUAAGGAGGAUUGUUGUUGGAGCAAUAUAAAAGGAGAACAGUAAGGAAGGAUUUCAGCUGAUUUCCCUUGGAAGAGCUUCAUUGAGGCUGAUUUUCCUCCGAGUUGCGUCAGCUGUUCUCUUCGGAGGAGCUCCUCUCUUUCCCUUCACCUUAGACAUCAUCUCCAGGCUUUUGGCACGGACUCUUCAGCUUCCCGCAGCGACCCUUUGACUUCUUUGCCUGACCCUUUGGUCUUCCCUCACGGAUCCUUCGGCCUCCUGAUGCGGAGCCUACGUUGCUGUGGGCUCACAGGCCUCAGCUGGAUCCUUCAGAUUUCUAGCACACAGACAGAUCUCUUGCACUCUUUUACAUUUGAAUCUGCGUGACCACUGUAGGCCGAUCUUGUAAAUUUCUGUGUCCUACAUUAAAUCUGAAUCACAGCGUGUGCUGUCUUUUGAGGAGCCUUGCCCCAACCUGCACGUUCUUCUGAGCCCUGACUAAUACCGUGAUGUACUAUUAGUUUAUAAAACUAGAAAAAAGGACAGAAUUUUUUUUUAAUAAAAAUGAUGCACUGCCUGCCUCGCAAGCCCAAGGUCCCGAAUUUGAUCCCCGGUACAAAAAAAAAAAAAAAAGAUGUUUGAGCAGAUAGCUAUGUUUAGCCUUAUUUGAGCACUGCACAAUAUACACAUGUAUCAGUACAUCUCAUAGAAUUUUAGUGUUUAAAAUUUUUUUAAACAAAUUAUCUCAAAAUGAGUAUACAUUUGAAAGUGAAAUGUAGACAGUAACAUGAGAAAAUCUUCAGGGCCUAAGGCUUUGUGAAGAAUUGCUAGACAUGACAACAAAACAGGAUGUGUAAAAGAAAAAAAAAGGUAAAUGUGAGUUCUCCAAAAUUUAAAAGUUUUAUUCUGAAAAUCAACAAGCUACACAGAAAACAUAUUCACAAAUCACAAAUUCAACAAAAGACUUAUAUCUAAAAGAAUUCUCAAAACAUUAAUUCAACAGUGAAAAAAUCCUUUGUGAGUUAAAUUCAUAUCCUGGUAAAUUACAAAACAAGUGUAUAGCCUAUCACCACUGUAAGCAAAAAUUGUCAUGAUUGCAUGUGUUUCAGAAUAUAUGAUUAAGGAAAGAGUGAAUUUUACUUUUCAGCAUGAACCCUUAGUCUUCUGUUAAAACCAGCUGUACUCAAAAUUGUGCAGGAUUCUGUCCAGUUACCCCAAAUUAUCUUUGGUUUUAGAGAAUCCAAAAUGAAAAUUACUGUAACAAAUAUAUAGCUACAAAGAGAAAGGUUUUCUUUUUGCUCCCAAAGUAACUAAAUGAAACAGAAAGCAAAAGUACCAGAAAACCUUCUGAGAGAGCCCUGUAUUGUUCUAAAUGUCUGUGUUCAGGAAGGGUUGUGACAUGCUGGCCAAAGGAGUUGUUAUUUUUAAUUCCUACAUUUUUAUACACAUAACUACUUUUGAUAGUAACUAAAUUUAUAUGAAUGAUUUAAAAUAAGUUGACUAUUUUCUUGCCUGUGACAUGAAAGUUUUCAUCAAAUAGAUGAUGUUUUUUAAAACCUCUUGGCUAACCUUUUAAUUUUUAAAUACAGACAUAUAUAUUUGAUUUAAUUUUUUUCUGUUCCCUAGUGAACUGAGCACUGCAAAGAUUUCCUUUCCACAGUUCCACCCUCCUGUUCCCUCUGAUGGACCACAGCCCAUAAAACCACCAUCUUGAUGUCACUCUUCCAACAGUUUUGGCCACAUCUCUAUCCACCUUGCAAAAUGACUUCCAGGCCAUGUUCUCUGGCAGCCUCCCCUUCAUCAGAGAAACCUUGCAGCAAGGGAUUGAACUCUGGUCCUUGCACUUGCGCAGCAGGCAGCGAAACCACUGAGCUAAAUCCCUGGUCCUACUUAAGUGAGGCUUUCCAGGAUAGAAGUUGCCUCCCAAGCCUGAGCUCUAAAAUGAGUACAGAUGGUACAGAACUGAACCCAGCCAUCAGAAAGGAGCUGAGCCUGGCCAGUCCUAUAACUUGACACCGAGCCACAGAAAGAAGUUCAACCAAGACCAGCUGAUUUUCAGACAGGACAUACACUCCUGAGUUAAGCUGAUGCUUAUCUUGUAUACCACUGAGAGUUUAUGAUUGUUUGACAUACAUGAUUAUUGUUUAACUAAGUUGACAAGUUAAACUCCCCUGGACAAUGUGCCUCUGUGGCCUUCUCCUAUUGUUUUUUCCUUAAUGCUCUCUACUAGCAACUGCAAGCAUCAUUUUGAGGAUAACAGCCAUGGGAUAGAAAGUUGGAAGGAACCUGGGUCCUGGAUGACAGCAAGGCCACACUGUAAGCCCUGAUCUGCCUAUAUCCAGACUACUUUAAGUUAAAGUCAUUAUUAUUUUGGGUACUCUGCUGCUAGCUAUCACUUCUCCUUCCUUGCUUUUACUUUCUCUCUCUCUUUUUUUUUUUUUUGGUACCGGGGAUUGAACUCGGGUCCUUCUGCUUGCGAGCCAGGCAGCUAAACCACUGAGCUAGAUCCCUGG